CCUCGCUUCGCCGCAACACGAAGGACGACUGCUGCUGCUGGAGGAUCUUCAACAAGAGCCUGAAGGGGAUGAGAACACGGAGAACUGGCACGUUUACGGAACAGACAACGGAACACCUGAUCCAGAACCACAUGGAGACAGAACAUUUACCUGGACCUGAUGAAACACAUGCAGGCCUUCAGCCAUACUCGGUCCUGGUCCUGGUCCAGUGGAGAAGACGGUCCCAAUAAAACCAGCAGUUCAUCAGGAUCUGCAGAACAUGGACUCUGGGAUUCUAUGUUCCUGUUCCCCACGGCAUCAGGUGAUUGGACAUUUGAUGACAUCACGCCCGGAGCGCCGUCUCCGUCCAGUACUUGGACACAGGUCUGACCCAGACUGAACCAGUGCCAGGGGUUAAAGGGCACCAGGCUGCACAGCUGCUGCAUGGACUGGAUCACUGACGAAUGUUGGACAUAGAACCGCCAACACUGAACAGAUCCUUUGGUUCCAAACACAGUUCCACAUUCAGAACUGGAUCAAGAGGAUUUACCAGAAGUUGGGCCAGGUCCAGAGCCCGGUUCCUCUGGCCCAGUUUGGUGCA
This is a long non-coding RNA of Sphaeramia orbicularis (orbiculate cardinalfish), 580 nucleotides long. RefSeq lists it as uncharacterized. The transcript is spliced from 3 exons. The record is from RefSeq and is a predicted model, not a curated record. NCBI's taxonomy places the organism in Eukaryota, Metazoa, Chordata, Actinopteri, Kurtiformes, Apogonidae.